RNAcentral lists this long non-coding RNA (1984 nucleotides) under Zostera marina. RNAcentral describes it as "long non-coding RNA (ZMAR_LNC005333)". Lineage: Eukaryota; Viridiplantae; Streptophyta; Magnoliopsida; Alismatales; Zosteraceae. The record is from RNAcentral.
AAUGAAUGAAUGAAUGAAAGAAAGAAAGAAAGAAGAGGUAUUUACCCGAUUAAGGAUAAAGAAGGAAAUAAAAAGGAAACAACGGAAGGAGGAGGGGAAGAAGGAGGACGACUAGGAGAAAGGGAGGACUGCUAGGGUAUUGUGGCGUGGAUCUGUAAGGGAGCACCGGUAUCAUGGUGUGGUAGGUGUAAAGCUCGACGGACAACGGAGGAGGUAUGUCUAGUUUUAAAUUUUAAAUUGCAAUAAGGGAUAUGGAUGAUAGGAAGGAAGGGUAGAUGAUAAAUGAAAAAAGUAUCGCUCAUGGAUGGUAAGGUAGUGAAAUGACAAUAAGAUACCCAAACACCUUGGGUCAUCCGAACCAUGGAUUUUACCAAUGUUGGCUCACGGUUGACAACUUGGUUUAGUUGGGAUUAAUAUUAUAUUGCUGUCUAUUUUUAUUGCUGUCUUAUUUUGUUGCUGUCUAUUUUUAUUGUUGUCGACUAUUUUAUUGCUGUGUCUAAUAUUUUAUUGUUGUCUUUAGGUGAUGAAAACACUAUCGGAAUGCAUAUUAGAUUAACAUAUAAGCUAUUUAUCGUGUGGUUGUUUUAUAUUUUUUAUUGCAGUUUUAAAUGACGAGAAUGCUAUCGGAGUGCAUAUUUGAUUAACAUAUAAGUUAAUUAUCAUGUGGGUUGUUUCAAUUAAUUUAUUUCUGUUUUUAGACAAUGAACGUGUUAUCGUGGUACACAUUUGUAACAUACAAGACACUUAUCAUGUGGGUUGUUUGUAGUAUUUAUGUUGCUGUCUUUAGGUGAUGAAAACACUAUCGGAAUACAUGUCAUGUUACAUAUAAGUUAAAUAUCAUGUAGGCUGUUUCGAUUAAUUUAUUUCUGUUUUAGAUGAUAAACAUGCUAUCGGGACGCACAUUUGUUAGCAUUUAAGAUAUUUAUCAUGUGGCCUGUUUGUAGUAUUUAUGUUGUUGUUUUUAGAUUACGAAAAUACUAUAGGGGUGCAUGUUUGGUUAGCAUAUAAGAUAUUUAUCAUGUGAGUUGUUGCUGAUUUAAAAUGACAAUAAGAUUAGGGGGAAAUUUACAUGAAUGAACAUGGGAAUAAGAAUAACAAUGUAUGUAUGAAUGAAUUAAUUAAUGAAUGCAUGAAUGAAUGAGAUAUGACCGAGGUGUUUUGACGCCUAACCAGUGGCGUAUCCAGGAUUCCCUGACAGGGGGCAAGAUUCGACGAAGGCGAAUUUUUUUUUUGUACUAAUUAAAAAACCUAAUUUUUUUUGUACUAAUUUUCUCGAACGCCGGAGGCCGGAGAAGAUGGAUUUGGGGGAAAACGGGGGAGAAGGGGGUUUGAAGAUUUGUGAAACGUGGGGCGGUGGGGGAGAAGAGGGAGAGACUAGAGAGAUUAAUAUAUUGUGAAAUUUAUAUAUUAACCCUUAAAAAAUAUUAAUAUAUUGUGAAAAUUACACUUAACCCCCUAUAAAAAAAUUUAUUACAUAUAGGUUCUCGAUUUUUUUCCAACUUUUAGGGGGGCAAUUGCCCUCCCUUGCCCCCCCUGGAUACGCCACUGCGCCUAACCAAUGAAGAACCAUGAAUGACGAAUGAUGAUCAAUAUGAGUUUAUGAAUGAUGAAUGAUUGAUAAUAUUAGACUGAAUGGUUAUAACUUGCUCAUGUAUUAUAUAUGUUAAUAAAUAAUGUUAGACAAAUAUUGGUGUCUAUGUUUUACAUACUGACUCACGGAUGCAUGUCAUGUUGCAGGGAAUGAAGACAACAUUGCUUAACUGGAGUGGUAGGAGACGAAGGACUCAUCGAGGUGACGAGACACGUGUGCGCAGAGUGUAAAAUGUUAUAGUCAUUGUCCUUGUUUUUGUUUGUAAUAAGUACCAUUUUAGGUUUUUCUUGAAUAUUGAGUGUUUGUGGGAUAUUCCAUUAUGUUAAACUUCCAUUUGGAAGUAGAAUAUUACGAAUUAUUUCAUAAUAUUUAAACCUCAGUUUGGAAGCAGGG